GUAAACCUCCUGCAAGCCGAAGUCUCUGUCGGAGUCUGUUUCCCAGUGCACCCAACUUGUGAUAGAAGGUAUAUGUUCUGCUGAAAAAGAGAAAAAGGAAAAAAAAGAAUAAAAGCAGAGAGAGGCGCCCUGAAUUCCAUGCCGGGUCAUUACAGAGCCAGUGGCGGAGACUCUAUGAGACCCAGCCCCACUGGCUGCAGCCCCUUCGGAUGCAUCUGCGAGAGCAGCCUGGCCGUCACCCGCCGGCCUGGCCCGUGCUGUCAGCCGGCCAGAGCGUGUCUGAAUCGAGGAAAGCUGACUGGGGCUCGAUUCACACUGACUCGAGCCGCAAGGCGAGUUUAUGGUUCUUGAUUACACCCAGCAGGGAGGCCUUCUUAGUGAUGAGAGAGAAAAUAUUCAACAACCUGUCUUUGCAAUGUGCUGAUCUCUUGGAGAGAGAGAGAGAGAGAGAGAGAGCAGAGAAAGUGGAGGAGGGGUUUCAAAGGAGGGUGAUUUAUGAGUGGAAAGAAGGCUUUUUUAAAAAAAAAUCCAGGGCUCCCCCAAACUGCCUCAACAUUUCCUCUUUCUCAUCGUUGGGUUUUGCCUUGAUAUAACUUUGAGGCACAGUGAUUGCAUCCCUGUGGGUUUCUGCAAGCUGAUGCAAAGCUUAAAAGGAUGCAGGCCCGGAAGGCACUGUAGUCCAUCCAGCCUUCACUCAGCAUUGCCUCGCAGCUGGGAGAGGUCCUGGACAGCGCUGCCUGCAGAGGCUCCGUGCAGCCCAAUCCCCAAGCCCUUCUCUCCUUCACAGCCCUUUUCACAUUCUGCUUCAUACUUAAACUGCAUCUGCUUGCACUCGGCACCCAAACACGGUGCCUGGCUCAUGCUCGGUGUUAAUAAAUGAACAAAUGUGUGAACAGGUAUGCAUCUACUCUCCCUUACCAGGCCGUGCCUCCCAAAGCCCCCAUCCAGUAACCUAAACAAAGUCAGCCCUGAUGAUGUGUUGGGAUGAAUGAGUGAGUAAGUAACACAGUCCACACCCUGUAGAGUCUGGGCACUCUCACUGGGCUGCUUCACCCUGCAUGUUGUUUCUGAAGCUCACUCUGGUUUUAAAUGACACAUCCUAGGCCCCCAGAAAAUGGGAUGCUGGAGGAAGAAGGGGAACUUUUCUGAAGACAACAUUUUCAGUUGCUUCUUAAUAAUUCAUGGGAACUAGAGUUUUAAACCAUUGGAUCUGAAAGCACCUCCCAGCGGACAGUCACUGAGCAUCUGGUGGGGGGAGGGAAAGAGGAGCCCAGGUUUCUCCAAGAACCCCAAUCUCUUCCUUCCCAAGACAUCAGAAAGGAGUCUAGGGGCUGGCCGUGUUCCCUUUUCUUCUCUCCCUCACACCCUCUCUCUGCCCCCUCGGCUUCCCUGGGGCUCUCCUAUGGCCCAACUAAGUCUCCUGCCACUUCCCUUUCUGCCUCAGCCUCCCUACUUGAGGGAUGGGGAAGGCAUCUCAGAAGAAAGAAGGCACCCUUAUCUUCAUAUAAACAUCAGGAUUCCAGCCUCCAGGAUGCGUCCUGGGUUCCUAUGCCCAAGGCAGGAGGGAGCCAGUGUGUGGAGGGCGGUGAUACCAGGCUUGCCACCACCAGCAGAAGUGAGACGAGUUCAGCCCAGAUCAACCCCCGACGGGAACCUUGCAAAAUCACCAAAACCCUGCAAGCUCAGUGUCUCUGCCCCAGAGAGAGGCGUUGGCACCUGGUCCCCACUAAGGCAGGCUGGGUCAGCCAGCUGGGGGGCUCUCCAGGCUGCCAGGGAGAACAGCCACUGAACCCCAGGGCUGCUGAGAACCCAGCCAGCUCUCCUUGACUCUGGCUCUGUGAAGUUUGGUACCCACCGAAAGGGGAGGGGGCAGUGUCACGGGGACGGUGCCCAAGCUCCAAAACUUUACACUGAAAGUUAAUCCACUGAAGCGGAGCCCAAAAUAAGCGCACUGCCUAAUGUGCCGGGAACUGCCGGUCGCAAGGCCAGGCUGCUAGCGGAUGCCGGCGCAUCUCCGCCCGCCCGGAGCCUGCAUUUAGCGCCAGCGAGGGAGUCUGGGCUGGAGCGCUGCUUUCACACCGACUCGAGCCGCGAGUUUAUGGAUCUUGAUUGCACCCAGCAGGGAAUCCUUUUUAGUGAUGAGAGAAAAAAUAUUCAACAACCUGUCUUUGCAUUGGGUGUGUUGGACACACUUCCCUGCUUCGGAAUCAGACAUAUAUCUGAGCAUCAUUACGAGCUGCCAUGGAGGCCCUUCACUACCUUAAACUUCACAACAAGCCUAUGAGGCUCCUCCAGGUAGCCGAGCCUCAGCCACCAGGGCCACAGACUUCUCUGCUGCCUUGAGGGACCUACGGGACUAGCAGGAGCUGCUCUUCCUCGUACGACUUCUACCCACCCAGGGAUAUCACUUGACCUCUCUGAGCCUGCUUCCUCCUGGAGACAACAGUGUAUACUCAGGGCUAUUGCGGGGAAUGACAAGGAAAAUGGAUGAAAAUGUGCUGGAGAAAUUCUGAGGCAUCAGUCAGAUGAAAGCCCUACCUCUCCCUCUCAAAUCAGAGCCUGUUUGGCGAAGACUUUUCAGGUGUGCCGACUGCCCCAAGCUGACCCAGUGCGGAUCCUAACU
This is a long non-coding RNA of Homo sapiens (human), 2623 nucleotides long. RefSeq annotates it as long independently transcribed non-coding RNA 2786. The transcript has 6 exons. NCBI's taxonomy places the organism in Eukaryota, Metazoa, Chordata, Mammalia, Primates, Hominidae. The record is from RefSeq and is a predicted model, not a curated record.